GACGAACGCUGGCGGCGUGCUUAACACAUGCAAGUCGAACGGAAAGGCCCUGCUUUUGUGGGGUGCUCGAGAGGCGAACGGGUGAGUAACACGUGAGUAACCUGCCCUUGACUUUGGGAUAACUUCAGGAAACUGGGGCUAAUACCGGAUAGGAGCUCCUGCUGCAUGGUGGGGGUUGGAAAGUUUCGGCGGUUGGGGAUGGACUCGCGGCUUAUCAGCUUGUUGGUGGGGUAGUGGCUUACCAAGGCUUUGACGGGUAGCCGGCCUGAGAGGGUAACCGGCCACAUUGGGACUGAGAUACGGCCCAGACUCCUACGGGAGGCAGCAGUGGGGAAUAUUGCACAAUGGGCGGAAGCCUGAUGCAGCAACGCCGCGUGCGGGAUGACGGCCUUCGGGUUGUAAACCGCUUUCGCCUGUGACGAAGCGUGAGUGACGGUAAUGGGUAAAGAAGCACCGGCUAACUACGUG
Molecule: ribosomal RNA, 468 nt
Filed under: uncultured bacterium
Lineage: Bacteria
Description: partial 16S ribosomal RNA
Rfam family: Bacterial small subunit ribosomal RNA
Source: RNAcentral